CUUACGGUCGUCCGAGUUGUAGUCUGGAGAAGCGUUUUCCGUGUCGGACCGUGUACAAGUCCUUUGGAACAGGGCGUCGUAGAGGGUGAGAAUCCCGUCUUUGACACGGACUGCCGAUGCUUUGUGAUGCGCUCUCGAAGAGUCGAGUUGUUUGGGAAUGCAGCUCAUAACGGGUGGUAAAUUCCAUCUAAAGCUAAAUAUUGGCGAAAGACCGAUAGCGAACAAGUACCGUGAGGGAAAGAUGAAAAGCACUUUGGAAAGAGAGUUAAACAGUACGUGAAAUUGUUGAAAGGGAAACGUUUGAAGUCAGUCGCGUCUCCUGGGACUCAGCCUCGCCUUGUCGCUUGGUGUAUUUCCUGGGGCGACGGGCCAGCAUCGAUUUUGACCGUCGGAAAAAGGCUUUGGGAAUGUGGCACCUUCGGGUGUGUUAUAGCCCUGGGUCGCAUGCGACGGUUGGGAUCGAGGACCGCAGCACGCCUUUUUGGCCGGGGUUCGCCCACGUAACGUGCUUAGGAUGCUGGCGUAAUGGCUUUAAGCGACCCGUCUUGAAACACGGACCAAGGAGUCUAACAUGCCUGCGAGUGUKUGGGUGGAAAACCCGGACGCGGAAUGAAAGUGAAAGGUUGGGACCCCUGUCGUGGGGGGCACCGACGCCCGGACCAGACCUUWUGUGACGGUUCCGAGGG
This 686-nucleotide ribosomal RNA is filed under the name Ramaria gelatiniaurantia var. violeitingens. RNAcentral's name for it is "eukaryotic LSU rRNA". It matches the Rfam family "Eukaryotic large subunit ribosomal RNA", at positions 128 to 796 of the family's 3401-position model. The record is from RNAcentral. Lineage: Eukaryota; Fungi; Basidiomycota; Agaricomycetes; Gomphales; Gomphaceae.